This 302-nucleotide ribosomal RNA is filed under the name uncultured Nitrospira sp. Its description in RNAcentral is "bacterial SSU rRNA". It matches the Rfam family "Bacterial small subunit ribosomal RNA", at positions 353 to 655 of the family's 1533-position model. The record is from RNAcentral. Lineage: Bacteria; Pseudomonadati; Nitrospirota; Nitrospiria; Nitrospirales; Nitrospiraceae.
AGUAAGGAAUAUUGCGCAAUGGACGACAGUCUGACGCAGCGACGCCGCGUGGGGGAUGAAGGUCUUCGGAUUGUAAACCCCUUUCGGGUGGAAAGAUGGCUCUCGACAACGAGAGCGGACGGUACCACCAGAAGCAGCCACGGCCAACUUCGUGCCAGCAGCCGCGGUAAUACGAAGGUGGCAAGCGUUGUUCGGAUUCACUGGGCGUACAGGGUGUGUAGGCGGUUCGGUAAGCCCUCUGGGAAAGCUCCUGGCUCAACCGGGAAAGUUCAGGGGGGACUGCCGGGCUAGAGGACGGGAGA